AUUCCAAUUUUAUUUUUUAUGCCGUAUUAUUAUAUUGUUUAUACUCCGUCAUCCCGGAGGUACGUAGUAGCUAGUGAUCACAAAAUUGCUUUGUGCGAGCACUGGCGCACUAUAAUAAACCCACGAUAAUACGUCGCGUAUUAUAUUAUUAUAGCCAAUAAAAUCCUCUAGUUGAGUAUACCAUAUAAAAUGGAUCAUAACGUAUCGAGUUCAAGGCCACGUGUUUUCUUUUAUUUCAACCACAAUACGGGAUUUUGUUGACAUUUUUUCUCUAUUCCGUUUUAAAUUUAAUACGUGCAAAACAAGGUUGUGCUACUCAAUUUUGGUCGAUAAAAAUUACAAAUUCUUCAUGGCACCAUACAACUCACCAAUAAGAGUGAUAACCGCCAUGCACUUGCGACGGAGCAGGGCUCAUUUAUUCAGUAAAAAUUCAUGCAAUCAAGGGUUAAGUUUUAUCUAUUUUGUAGGCUUUUUGUCGUUUUCUU
This is a non-coding RNA of Cinara cedri, 485 nucleotides long. NCBI's taxonomy places the organism in Eukaryota, Metazoa, Arthropoda, Insecta, Hemiptera, Aphididae. The record is from the annotation of a GenBank genome assembly.